RNAcentral lists this ribosomal RNA (607 nucleotides) under Meyerozyma guilliermondii. RNAcentral describes it as "eukaryotic LSU rRNA". The stretch from base 200 to 353 matches the Rfam family "5.8S ribosomal RNA". Lineage: Eukaryota; Fungi; Ascomycota; Pichiomycetes; Serinales; Debaryomycetaceae. The record is from RNAcentral.
UCCCUAGGUGAACCUGCGGAAGGAUCAUUACAGUAUUCUUUUGCCAGCGCUUAACUGCGCGGCGAAAAACCUUACACACAGUGUCUUUUUGAUACAGAACUCUUGCUUUGGUUUGGCCUAGAGAUAGGUUGGGCCAGAGGUUUAACAAAACACAAAUUAAAUAUUUUUACAGUUAGUCAAAAUUUGAAAUAAACUUCAAAACUUUCAACAACGGAUCUCUUGGUUCUCGCAUCGAUGAAGAACGCAGCGAAAAGCGAUAAGUAAAAUGAAAUGCAGAUUUUCGUGAAACAUCGAAACUUUGAACGCACAUUGCGCCCUCUGGUAUUCCAGAGGGCAUGCCUGUUUGAGCGUCAUUUCUCUCUCAAACCCCCCGGUUUGGUAUUGAGUGAUACUCUUAGUCGGACUAGGCGUUUGCUUGAAAAGUAUUGGCAUGAGUAGUACUGGAUAGUGCUGUCGACCUCUCAAAGUAUUAGGUUUAUCCAACUCGUUGAAAGGUGUGGCGGGAUAUUUCUGGUAUUGUUGGCCCCGCCUUACAACAACCAAACAAGUUUGACCUCAAAUCAGGUAGGAAAACCCCCUGAACUUAAGCAUAUCAAAAAGCGGAGGA